Molecule: long non-coding RNA, 1028 nt
Filed under: Rattus norvegicus (Norway rat)
Lineage: Eukaryota; Metazoa; Chordata; Mammalia; Rodentia; Muridae
Description: long non-coding RNA NONRATT019836
Source: RNAcentral
UGAGCAGACCAAAGGGGGAGGAUGUUGUACAGUGUAUGUGCAUGCACCCCAUACUGCGCACUGUGUACCUGGGGUGUGUGUGUGUUUAUGUGUGUGUAUGUGUGUGUGCCGGGGAAUGAAGGUGAACACAUCUGUAUGUGUGCUGCAGACACAUCCUGGUGUGUCCACAUGUGUGCAUGAGUCCAUGUGUGCGCAUUGGGGUGGGGUGGGCUCUAACAGCACUUUUGGUGUCCUUGCUGCAGGGGCCCUGUGAGGCCCAGGGUGGCUGCCUGCUUCCAGAAUCCUGUGUCAGCCAGGCCGGGUGGUGCAGCUUGGCUGACUGGGUUUGCAGGGCAGCAAGAGCACUGCUUAAAGGUUUUCCGAUCGAAGCUUUAAUGGAACGUUUAUUUAUUUAUCGAGGCCUCUGGCAAACCUGGGGAAUAAGCAAAGAGUGGGGAGAUGUGGGGGCCGAUACCCCAAAUCCCUGUUCUCUGAAGCAAGGGCAGGGUCCCCUACUCAAGGAGCUGAGGCCCAAGCAGUUUAUUUAUUGGGAGAGAGGGAGACAGACUGACAGCCAUGGAUGGGCUGGAGAAAGUCCCUUUUUAGAAGGUAGUACCAGCACCCUGGCCACAUGCAUGCAUGUGGAUCUGAGAUGGAGAGGGUGAGUGAGGGCCUUGGCUGAUAGGGUGGGCAGGAGGGGUAGAUGUGGGUCCCUCCUGUGGUUGGAGCGCUCCACUGCCCUUCCCACUGGCCAGUCUGCACUUUGGUUUAUUUUCUAACAGUUCUGUUCCCUCCUGCUUUGAUUUUUAAUAAAUAUUUUGAUGGUGUUAGGCUGGGUUGGGGACUCUGUGAGGCUAGUGUUGGGGGGAAUGUUCAUUCCCUGUACCUGACUUAAUUUCCUUUCAAUUUGUAACCCCUUGAGAAGAGGAAAACUGACCAAGUGAUGGGUAGGAGAUUAUGUGUGUUACCUAAGUACAGAAAAGUGUCAGUCUGCUUGUUGCGCACCUUCUGGUCAUUUCUGAGCAUUAGUAAAGAUGCAACACACAGUG